UUUUUAUUUAUAUUUUAAAUUGCACGCUCAUUAAUUUGAAAUUAUUUUAGAAAAUAUCGUCUUAUACACUUUUACUAUUUUCGAAUAUGCCCACGCAAUGUCUAACUGAUCGUCAUAAGAAAUCUGUUUUGUUUUGAGUCACAUCUGACGAACCAAGUCACAUUCGCGGGCAUUGUGUGAUCUGUAGUAUCCUACGUGAAUUGAUCUUAAGAAUUCAAAUAAUUAUUUCGCAAUUUCUCAGUUUGAAUUCCAUUAACUUUAUUUCGGGACUUGCCAGCCGGAUCAAGCAGCAGCUCAAACUAAUUUAAAGUGCAUAUCAGUGAGAUAAUAAUGUAUCUAAUAGCGCACGUCUGGGUCAUAAUUUUUCUAAUAUAUUUUGAGCUAUCGGACGAAAAUGUACUGGAACUAAUCACUCUGAUGUCGCAUGUAUAUUUAGUCAUGUUCACAAUGCUGUUCGCAUUACCGAUUAUUCACGAUGUGUUUAUACCUCAGGAAGACUUGGGAAGGAUAAUACGCUAUGUUAUAAUGUUAUGAUAAUGUUUUUUUUUCGCGGCAAUAAUUUUAGGUAUCCUGUUAUUUUCGUUUAACAGGAUUUUAAUCGAACAUUUUGACAAUCAUGAUUUAUUAGUACACAUAUUUAACUACUUGACUCAUUCCAUGACUUUUUGAAUUUUUAUUGUGUUAAAUUGAUUAGAUUAUUGCUUAUCUAAUUAAAUUUUCUGUGGAAUUUUCGAUGUGAAGCUUUUUCUCUCUCUGUAUUCCACUGUUUUACCCCGAAAUAAAUAUUCGAUGAAUAUAUAUAGCUAAAUAAUAUUCGUGAAGAUUGCAUAUGUGAGCAUGGAAAAAUGUAUUGACGAAAUUUGAUUCUGGAUUGAUGGAUUAAAAUUAAAUAUUGCAUUAAGCUCAUCAAGAGAAUGCGGCGAUGUUGUUUGAAUGCAAUGUCUGAUUUUGACGCAUUGGUUUUUAACGAGACAGGUAAAAACAAAUUAAAUCGCCGCAUUAGCAAGCACAUAAAUUAGCGAGUAAGUGAAUCUCGAGGAGUUACCGAAGAAUUUUAUUUUUAGAUUAAAACGAAUACGAUCAGAAGCGAAAUCCAAUAAUUCAUCAGAUCAGAUUCGAAGCAAGUGCAAGGAACAAUCGUAAGAACAAUCUAGCAUCGAGAGUCCUGCUGACAUAUUUUAAUAAACAAAAUUUACGUAUCGACGUAUUGGAUAUUGCUGUAAAAAUUGUGACAACGAUCACACACGGCUGGCAUAUAUAAUCCUACAGUUCAAACAAAAACCUUUUAGACGAGCGCAAAAACUAAGUACAGGCUUAACGAUCGGAGAUUUUUAGCGAUCCACACGAUGCUUUGCUCGCUAAACACGAGUUUGAGAAAACCAUAAUUGUAACAGUUCUUCGAUUAAACACAUAAUAAAUUAAAAACAUUGAACGAUAGAACAUUAUUGAUGACAUCACGAAUACUGAAGCGUGAAGAAUCCUCCAAAAGAUGUAACGGCUUACUAAAAACUUAACAAAAAAUGUACAGUUAUUAACAAGAAUUAUCGGGAUAUUCAAUAAACAAUGUUUAUAUUUUGACAUGCGAACUCUAAUUACAAGAACAAACAAUCAGUAAACGAUUAAUGUAGCCAGUUGGGUUCUUGACGGUUUAACUCUUGCGUAUUAAAUAUAAGACGUGUUUAAGAGUCUUAAAGUUAAGUAUUAAAUAUAAGAUAACUACAAUUUAAUUGUUACUUUGAUCUGUCACAUCUCUCCUUAAUUCUUAUCUGUUCAAUCUUUCGGCAUGAACGAGAUAAGAGAAAUAAUACGAACGGCAUCAUUUCUGGCAUACCAAAUUUCUCGAACUGAUCACUCUUGUUCGGAAUGAUUGCAGUCAAAAAUUUAUAUCGAUAUUGCAUCAAGUAUCUUUUUAAACUCCUUAUGAUAGCGUUAGUUUCAGAAAUAUUUCACUCGAAAACACAAAAAUUUUGUUUUAUAUUCAGAUAUAAAAUUACAUAAUGAUCAUGGAAUGACAAAUCGUAUAAUGGUAACCGUGCAAAUAUUUAUCCGUUUACAUUUGAUUAUUUUGUUAUUAGAUUAAUUCGAAAACGGGUAAUUUGUGCCAGAAAGAAGAGCCGUUGUCGAGAUAUUUUUUGAAAAGUUUAUUUAUCCCUAAGAGAUAUACAAAACAAACAUAUCUUCUCGUUUAACUAUCAUAAUUCCCCUAGUAGUAUAACACAGGAAAUUAAUGUCAUGAUCUUUUCGAAUACUCCGUUCGUUUUUUUUCUUUUUUUUUUAUUCAGUUGUCUCUCCCUAGAACGGAUACCGUGCCUCACACAAUAUCAGUAUCAGUUACAAUUCGCUCGUUCUUUUUAUAAUCAGCUAUAUGUUAAAAUUAUGCACAUCUCUGCAAAUCAGUAUUAAAAUAUUACAAUUUGAUAUUUUACAGUCGUUUGUUAUUCGCAUCCUCUAACUUCCUCUAGAAAACAGGUUCCUUUUCAUUCGUUCUGCUCAUCAUGUGUGUAUGUGUGUACAUGUAAGAACGUGUAUAUAUCGAUCAAUCAAUAUUUAAAAUCAUUUCCUUUUACGUUGACAAUGUGAACCAAUGUGUCCUAAAAACAGUAAGGAAAGGGGGAAGGGGAGACAAAGAAAGGUUUGACUUUAACUUUAAGAGAAGUGAUAUAGUGAUUUCAGAGAGCCAAAUAUCGAGGUGCAAGUGUCGGUCGAAUUAUAAUGAAGCUUCUAAAAUUUAUAUAAAUAUAUAUAUUUAUAUUUAUAUAUUUAUAUAAAUGCAUGUGCACGCGCAAGAUAAAUAAAUACAGAGAAACAUAUAAAAUAUAUAUUACUACACAUAUAUACUUUAUAUGUUUAGAUCCUUUUUACCGUUCGACGACAACGACGACGACGACGACGACGACGAUGAUGAUGAAGAGAAGAAGAAGUAGAAGAAGAAGAAACCAGUGAGAUCCUAUUUUUUUCCUUUCCUGUCUUUUUUCAUUUUUUUUUAUCUCAGCAUAUUAUUACUCGGCUGCUCUCGUUUCCCCUCUCUAAUCCCGAAUGCGAUCAGAAUCACUGUACACGCUAUAGGAUCUAGGAAUGUUAAUAUUACAAGAAACCACAAUAAUUUAUUAUAAUACAACCUGCUGUACACCAGAUGAUUCGAGGCAGUACAAGACAGAGAAACGCCUUUCUUCGCGGGGAGCUAUCUUCUACUAAUUCGCUCCCAGAAACAUGAUUCGACGAAGCAAAUGGCGAUCGUUAUAUCAUUCACGUGAGUCUCGAGAUGAGAGAUUUGAACGUAUUUUGCUUUACUACUUUUAUUUUCUGAAGUUAAAAACGAAUGUCAGAGGGAGAAUGGCGAUGGCAAGGGGCAGGGACCACUUCAGUAUCGACUAAAAAACAGAGAGAGAGAAAAGAGAGAGAAAAGAGAGAGAGAGAGAGAGAGAGAGAGAGAGUAGAAGAUAAAGAGAGAAAAAGUUGAACGGAGAGAAAACAAAGUACAAAACAUUGUCUUUUGUCAUGCGCUAAAAGCGACAGAAGGAAAACAAAGUAAAAAAAACGACUCUGCUGAUAUCUUUAAUUACUGAAAUCAAAUUCGGGAUUAAUGAACAAAAAUUUGAUGUCUACUAUUAAAAUGAGUGCCAGGAAAUCGCGUUAUCGUUUCGCGUUACAAUUCAUCUUCGUGGUCUUACAAGGAAAAUAGUUUCGUGGCUGCAGUGGCGAUAGCUUACACGAGGCCGCCGGCAGCCCCGAAACAGCGCGAAUGUAUCUAUGAUAAAAAAAAUGGUAUUUUAAUUUCAUGAAAUAUACAACAGUCGUCGUUUUGUCAAGUAUUAGGACUCGACGAUGCCGCUGCUCCAUGGCGCUGGGAUACCGUGACAGUAAUUUUGAUUUAAUAUUAGCCCUUGCAUAUGAAAUGUCGGUUUUAUCAACAAUUUUUUUCAGAGAUUACUUUCGAGGAAACAAAAGUACAUGUACGAUACAAAUGUAUAAUGUGAAUAAUAUAUAAAUGUAUAUAUAAUAUAAAUAUCAACUAAAAAAGAUUCCAUGAUUUUCCAUGAGUUUCUCAAAAAUAUGAAAAUAUAUAAUAUCCCAAUAAACAUACAAUAUCUCAAUAAUCUUAUCUCGAUCGAUACGUUCCACAAAAAUCAGCAAGUUAAACGUAAAAAGGAUUUAAAAUUGUAUAUAAACAUGAUUUUCCUUCAUUAUAUUGUGUGAAUAUGUUAAAUUUUUUCUAUGCUAAUAUUCAUUUCUCUCACGUUAAUGUGACUCUUCUUAAACAUGGAAGUGAUACUACAUAAAUUUUUUCUAUAACAAUUGUCUUAUAACUAUUGUUAUUGUGUUAAUAAUAUUAUCAAUAUUAUUAAUAUCAUCGUAUAAUAUUAUUAAUAUCAAUAAUAUCACAACGACUUUAAAAUUAAAAAGUAAGUUGUAUAUUGGAUUCCUCAAUUUUCUCUCUACGUUCCGACAAAUUUCUAUUUGAAACUUAUAUAAAAGAAUUCAUGUAUAAACAUACUGUGCAAAAAACUGAAAGGUAUUUUUGUAAAAGAAUCGUGUCACUUCAACGUGAUGUGUAUAACGUGAUAAUGGUCACUAAAAAACGUCAACUUCUCGUAUAAGAGCGACAUCUCAUAUGCAACGAUCGAAUGGAAGCUGCGAGCUACAUGCACACGCACUCCGUCUCUUUCUCUCUCUAUCGUUCUCUUUCUCUCUCUCUCUCUCUCUCACACACACACACACACACAAUUCUCUUAAUUCGAUUCAUCGCAUCGAGCAAUCGCUUAUCAGCUACGUAAUUAAGGCUCAAUCACGUGGUGGCUCGUAGCUCGUAACACCGCCGUGUAGUGUCAAGAAAAAGAGUAAAUCGCAUGCUUAAAAAAAAAGACGUAGAGAGUCGCAAAGAAUCCAGGUCUGUGUUAAGAUACACUUAAUACUAAACGCACUUACAACUAUUACAAGAGACAUGUACUCGGUUGUUAAAUCAAUUACAAAAAAAA
Molecule: long non-coding RNA, 4976 nt
Organism: Ooceraea biroi (clonal raider ant)
Lineage: Eukaryota; Metazoa; Arthropoda; Insecta; Hymenoptera; Formicidae
Source: RefSeq, a predicted model, not a curated record